UCCGAGUUGACCCCGGCAGUCUCCUGCGAGUCCCCGGCGUAAUCCGCUGGCAACACAGGAUAGGGGUUGCGCUCGUUGCGGGACUUAACCCAACAUCUCACGACACGAGCUGGCGACAGCCAUGCAGCACCUGUGCAGGAUCUCCGAAGAGGGGCUCUCGUUUCUGAGAGCUUGCUCCUGCUUGUCAAGCCUAGGUAAGGUUCUUCGCGUUGCGUCGAAUUAAACCACAUGCUCCACCGCUUGUGCGGGCCCCCGUCAAUUCCUUUGAGUUUCAACCUUGCGGUCGUACUCCCCAGGCGGGGUGCUUAAUGCGUUAGCUUCGGCACGGACGGGGUCGAUAUCCGCCCACACCUAGCACCCAACGUUUACGGCUAGGACUAC
This 381-nucleotide unclassified non-coding RNA is filed under the name uncultured bacterium. RNAcentral describes it as "contains 16S-23S intergenic spacer region". The record is from RNAcentral.